GAUGAACGCUGGCGGCGUGCCUAAUACAUGCAAGUCGAACGGGGAUAUGAUUUCGGUUGUAUCCUAGUGGCGAACGGGUGAGUAACGCGUGAGCAACCUGUCCUUUUGAGGGGGAUAACAUUUGGAAACAGAUGCUAAUACCGCAUAAGACCACGGGUCCGCAUGGACCAGAGGUCAAAGGAGCAAUCCGCAGAAGGAGGGGCUCGCGUCCCAUUAGGUAGAUGGCGGGGUAACGGCCCACCAUGCCAUCGAUGGGUAGCCGAGCUGAGAGGCUGAUCGGCCACACUGGAACUGAGACACGGUCCAGACUCCUACGGGAGGCAGCAGUGGGGAAUAUUGGGCAAUGGGCGAAAGCCUGACCCAGCAACGCCGCGUGAGGGAAGAAGGCCUUCGGGUUGUAACCUCUGUCCUUGGUGACGAAAAAAUGAACGGUAGCCAAGGAGGAAGCCCCGGCUAACUACGUG
Molecule: ribosomal RNA, 464 nt
Filed under: uncultured bacterium
Lineage: Bacteria
Description: bacterial SSU rRNA
Rfam family: Bacterial small subunit ribosomal RNA
Source: RNAcentral